This is a long non-coding RNA of Cephus cinctus (wheat stem sawfly), 1116 nucleotides long. RefSeq lists it as uncharacterized. Lineage: Eukaryota; Metazoa; Arthropoda; Insecta; Hymenoptera; Cephidae. The record is from RefSeq and is a predicted model, not a curated record. The transcript has 2 exons.
CUUCCUACUUUUCAUACUUCUUCCACAGUUCUCUUAUCUCGCUCCUCCCAAAUGUUAAUAGUAGUGACAUCCAUAGGAUAAUAGCGAAAGCUAGUGCUGUUAGAGUUUAUAUUUCUUAAAAUUUGUCCUGUUGCUGCCUGGUGUCAUCCCAUUCUGUCUCGGACUUCCAAGACGAGCGGAUGUCACCAAGCAGUACAGCAAGUCAUACCUAAGGGUGUCAUACAAAGAUAGAAAGGGCUUUUAUUUAAACUACUAUAUGGAAUUAUUGACGGAGAUAUUUGCCAAUCGAUGUGGUCGCAUACGUCCCUGAUAAUUUGGACAUCAACCAGUAAAAAGGAAUAUCGCAAACAAUUCCUCCAUAAUUUUAUCAACUGUUACAAAGUAUAUCAUGUUUUCGAAACAACGAAUAGCUAAGCGAUAUUAUUUAUUUUAGUUUGGUUUCUGUAAUUUGUAAUGUAAGUGUGGGUCAUGAGUGUUAUGGAAUGGGUCAUGAAUGUUAUAUCUUAAAAUCGCCUUAUUUAAUCAAAUAUGUUCUAAUUGAAUUCAUUUGUCAUUGUGUGCUUAUUUAUAUUUUUUUAUUGUGUUAUUUUGGACAUAAAUUAAUUCAGCUAAUAACUUUUUUAUUUUUUGUAUUUAAAGACAAUAAUUUCUUUGGAUGUUUUUCUCUCAAUUAUUAAAUAUAAAUACAUAAGGAAUUAUUAUAGUGCAUACGCUUUACGCAUCUUCUUCUCCCCUUGUUCCCUCAAUCAUAACCAUCUCUCUUCUUCACUCUUUCUUUUUAACAAUCUUCCUCUUUUCCCCUUCAACAACAAUCUUCCCUAUCUGCUGCCACGAAACGUUUCUUUCUACUCAAUUUUCGAAUCUCCUAUUCCUUCCUAUAUAUCCGUCACUCUCCUCCUAGUUGUUCCUUCAAAACUAAAUUGUUAAAAAGGCCUUUGGAAAAUUCCAAAGUGGUAACGCAUAUAACAUACAAUAUGUAUAUUAUAGUGGUGAUAUAUUUAAUAUAUUUGUAAUGGUAUUGUUAUUGCUAAUCUUUCGCAAACCAUAUAUGUACAUAUGUACUUUGUAUACUGUAUAAUUAUUGCGUUUGUCAAAUAAACUAUCUUUAAACACCUA